UUGCUUCUCUGAUGUUAGCGGCGGACGGGUGAGUAACACGUGGAUAACCUACCUAUAAGACUGGGAUAACUUCGGGAAACCGGAGCUAAUACCGGAUAAUAUUUUGAACCGCAUGGUUCAAAAGUGAAAGACGGUCUUGCUGUCACUUAUAGAUGGAUCCGCGCUGCAUUAGCUAGUUGGUAAGGUAACGGCUUACCAAGGCAACGAUGCAUAGCCGACCUGAGAGGGUGAUCGGCCACACUGGAACUGAGACACGGUCCAGACUCCUACGGGAGGCAGCAGUAGGGAAUCUUCCGCAAUGGGCGAAAGCCUGACGGAGCAACGCCGCGUGAGUGAUGAAGGUCUUCGGAUCGUAAAACUCUGUUAUUAGGGAAGAACAUAUGUGUAAGUAACUGUGCACAUCUUGACGGUACCUAAUCAGAAAGCCACGGCUAACUACGUGCCAGCAGCCGCGGUAAUACGUAGGUGGCAAGCGUUAUCCGGAAUUAUUGGGCGUAAAGCGCGCGUAGGCGGUUUUUUAAGUCUGAUGUGAAAGCCCACGGCUCAACCGUGGAGGGUCAUUGGAAACUGGAAAACUUGAGUGCAGAAGAGGAAAGUGGAAUUCCAUGUGUAGCGGUGAAAUGCGCAGAGAUAUGGAGGAACACCAGUGGCGAAGGCGACUUUCUGGUCUGUAACUGACGCUGAUGUGCGAAAGCGUGGGGAUCAAACAGGAUUAGAUACCCUGGUAGUCCACGCCGUAAACGAUGAGUGCUAAGUGUUAGGGGGUUUCCGCCCCUUAGUGCUGCAGCUAACGCAUUAAGCACUCCGCCUGGGGAGUACGACCGCAAGGUUGAAACUCAAAGGAAUUGACGGGGACCCGCACAAGCGGUGGAGCAUGUGGUUUAAUUCGAAGCAACGCGAAGAACCUUACCAAAUCUUGACAUCCUUUGACAACUCUAGAGAUAGAGC
RNAcentral lists this ribosomal RNA (948 nucleotides) under Staphylococcus aureus. Its description in RNAcentral is "bacterial SSU rRNA". It matches the Rfam family "Bacterial small subunit ribosomal RNA", at positions 78 to 1012 of the family's 1533-position model. Lineage: Bacteria; Bacillati; Bacillota; Bacilli; Caryophanales; Staphylococcaceae. The record is from RNAcentral.